AAAAUAAAAAGGAAACAUAUGUACUACUCUUUGUAAUAUCUUAAGCAAUAAAACAAAAUAAAAAAAUACGUUAAAAACAAACAAUGAAAUUCAUGUUUUAGAAAAUAAAGUAUGGCCUUCGGAAAGGCCACAAAGUCAUUUGCCAGCAGUUGUAAAACAUCACUUUUUUGGGGGGUAUAUUUCAGAGUAAUCGCACAGCCCUGUAUACGGGAAGUCAGUCUCGGGUUGUUUACAAGACGGGGUAAAUAAUCUAUUCAAACAGCUACAGCCGGGGCGACAGAUAACUUAAAAGCUCUUUUUCUAAUGUGCUGGUUGUGUUAAAAGACUUUUUAAAAAUGACUCCUACUUGCUGUUUUCAUAAUUUAAAUUUGGUCCAGGGUAUUAUUAUUUGUUCUCUCAGUGUGAGAUAAGGAGAGGGGAGGGUGGCAUGAAUGGUUGGAAGGCAGUGCCAAGGAGGAAGUGGGGGGGAUGAGAUUACAAGAACACAUUGUUGCUUACAGUGCGUGCAGGGUGCAGUUAAGGUAUGGCUGGUUCCUUUGGGGCUUGGUUGCCAUUCAGUUUUUCUAAAACGGUUCUUGAGAUGUGUCUCUACUUGGCAGGUGACUGGCCGGUUCGGCUCGUUGCCAGCAUCAUGGUGCUCAGUUUGGGAAUCUGUCUGAUUGAUGUUCCUGAAUGGACCAUCUGUGGCAGAGGAGGAAACGGUGGGAAGUGACUGGAGGGCCCCUCAGGACACUGGCCGGAUAACCCUUCCGCGCACAGACUGUGCACAGGGCAUGAAUAACCGUCAUUCCUUGGAGCGUUCGCAGUGACUGGCAGGCGCCGUGAGAGCGCUGAGCGCGUUGUUUCCUGGAGUGUUUACGUACUCAGCGAGCAUUGACAGCACCCCCACCCACGCCGGUCCUGUGCUCGGCUGGAGGGAGCAUUGUGAACACGGCAGUCUUCAUCCAGAUGUCUGGCACCGUGCAGGCAGGGCCUGGCCGCAGCCUCAGACCCGCUUCCAUGGGAACAUGUCAUGUUCUCCGUUUGUUUUGGACGGCAGUUUCCUUCUUGUGUGGACAGAUACAUAUGAAACACAUGCUCUCCGCGUGGAGUUUGUGGUCCUCUGAGAAUUCUCUGGAGGAGGAAAUGGGUUGACCUAUUUGGUUGCUAUGAAGUAAAAACAAUCUUGUUUUCAUUUUUCAGUGAACAUCUGGGUUGCAUUUAUUAUUUUACAUUCUAGAGGUUCUUUUUAAAGCCACAAUUUGAUAAUGUGAGGGUUCAUUAAAGCAGUAACUAGCUGUUUCUGUAAUCAAAUUAAGUGCUAGGGUGGCUGGUAGUUUUAAACAAAUAUUAAAAAAUUGUUUUCUUUUCUACAAAAUGUAACUUCCAAAUGUCAGCCCUUGGUUUUAAACCAUAAAACGGGAUUUAGAUAUUUUGGGAGGAAGGAUUGGUCACCCGGUUUACUCCCUGCUGCCCACGGCGGUGCAGGGUGUGGCCAUGCGGGGCUGUAUCUGCCCCUAAACAGGACCAUCCCCCCUCGUCCUUGUAAAGAGCCCUGAUUCUGGCCCUGACCGGUUUGCCUCAGUGCAUAGAGCGUCAGCCUGCGGACUCAAGGGUCCCGGGUUCAAUUCCAGUCAAGGGUAUGUACCUUGGUUGUGGGCACAUCCCCAGUAGGGGGCGUGCAGGA
This is a long non-coding RNA of Myotis myotis, 1666 nucleotides long. RefSeq lists it as uncharacterized. The transcript has 4 exons. The record is from RefSeq and is a predicted model, not a curated record. Lineage: Eukaryota; Metazoa; Chordata; Mammalia; Chiroptera; Vespertilionidae.